Salarias fasciatus (jewelled blenny) is the source of this 675-nucleotide long non-coding RNA. RefSeq lists it as uncharacterized. The transcript has 3 exons. NCBI's taxonomy places the organism in Eukaryota, Metazoa, Chordata, Actinopteri, Blenniiformes, Blenniidae. The record is from RefSeq and is a predicted model, not a curated record.
CUGGUGGAGAGAAGUGCGCGCCUUCACUUCACAGCUUUCUUCUCUUUUUCGUCGCGACUCUGAUAUAAAGCCGCCGUUCUAACUGCAGAGGUCAGAGAGAUUUCUCUCUGCCUCUCGGAUUUCUGCUCCAUCUGACUGGUCCAGAGAACAAACGAAUAAAGGUCAGACUCUUUCAACAUUGGUUCCUGACUGAACUUUGUCUCGCUUCAAAUGUGGAACAUGUUUUAUCAAUCUGUGGAACAGAAAAUGGACAAACAGCAGUGACUGAAGAUGUCAGAUGUGGAUGAAGAGGAGGGCAGGUCAGGUGUGGACAGGUAAGAGCCGUCAGGCGUUCUCUUCAGUGUUUCUUCCUGCCACCACAGAGUGAUCUGACUCUUCUAAUGUUGCCGUCAUGUGUGGAAGGUGUGUGAACCUUCCUCUCCAGGUUGGACAUGUACGUCUCACAUGUUGAAUGAAUGUGUGUAAACUGUCAGAACCUCCUGAUCUGUCAAGGAGCCAACAGAACAUUUGGACCUGCUGUCAAACUCCUGAUUGGGCAGUGUGGGUGUGACCUUUGACCUCUGUCAUGUUCAUCUCUUCAUAAACAACUGGGUUUACAGUGAACUGACUGAACCAUUCAAGCUGUUUCUAAAUCCUCUGAUUUCUCUCUAAGGUUGUCUCUGAAGAGUGACUGGU